UUAGGGUUAAGGUUCAACUUUAUUUGCGUCUAAAAGGAGCAACGGUUUCACCCGAACAGUCGUCAAUGUGAACACGUGUGCAAUAUUUUAUAUUUCCCAGAGAUGUCGUGUGAUAUGUUUAGGGGUAAUGUCGUGUGAUAUGUUUAGGGGUAAUGUCGUGUGAUAUGUUUAGGGGUAAUGUCGUGUGAUAUGUUUAGGGGUAAUGUCGUGUGAUAUGUUUAGGGGUAAUGUCGUGUGAUAUGUUUAGGGGUAAUGUCGUGUGAUAUGUUUAGGGGUAAUGUCGUGUGAUAUGUUUAGGGGUAAUGUCGUGUGAUAUGUUUAGAGGUAAUGUCGUGUGAUAUGUUUAGGGGUAAUGUCGUGUGAUAUGUUUAGGGGUAAUGUCGUGUGAUAUGUUUAGAGGUGAUGUCGUGUGAUAUGUUUAGGGGUAAUGUCGUGUGAUAUGUUUAGGGGUAAUGUCGUGUGAUAUGUUUAGAGGUGAUGUCGUGUGAUAUGUUUAGGGGUAAUGUCGUGUGAUAUGUUUAGGGGUAAUGUCGUGUGAUAUGUUUAGAGGUGAUGUCGUGUGAUAUGUUUAGGGGUAAUGUCGUGUGAUAUGUUUAGGGGUAAUGUCGUGUGAUAUGUUUAAGGGUAAUGUCGUGUGAUAUGUUUAGAGGUGAUGUCGUGUGAUAUGUUUAGGGGUAAUGUCGUGUGAUAUGUUUAGAGGUGAUGUCGUGUGAUAUGUUUAGGGGUAAUUUCAUGUGAUAUGUUUAGGGAUAAUGUCGUGUGAUAUGUUUAGGGUUGAUGUCGUGUGAUAUAUUUAAGGGUAAUAUCGUGUGAUAUGUUUAGGGGUAAUGUCGUGUGAUAUGUUUAGGGGUAAUGUCGUGUGAUAUGUUUAAGGGUAAUGUCGUGUGAUAUGUUUAGGGGUAAUGUCGUGUGAUAUGUUUAGAGGUGAUGUCGUGUGAUAUGUUUAGGGGUAAUGUCGUGUGAUAUGUUUAGGGGUAAUGUCGUGUGAUAUGUUUAGAGGUGAUGUCGUGUGAUAUGUUUAGGGGUAAUGUCGUGUGAUAUGUUUAGGGGUAAUGUCGUGUGAUAUGUUUAGAGGUGAUGUCGUGUGAUAUGUUUAGGGGUAAUGUCGUGUGAUAUGUUUAGGGGUAAUGUCGUGUGAUAUGUUUAGAGGUGAUGUCGUGUGAUAUGUUUAGGGGUAAUGUCGUGUGAUAUGUUUAGGGGUAAUGUCGUGUGAUAUGUUUAGGGGUAAUGUCGUGUGAUAUGUUUCUUGGUAAUGUCGUGUGAUAUGUUUCUUGGUAAUGUCGUGUGAUAUGUUUCUUGGUAAUGUCGUGUGAUAUGUUUCUUGGUAAUGUCGUGUGAUAUGUUUCUUGGUAAUGUCGUGUGAUAUGUUUCUUGGUAAUGUCGUGUGAUAUGUUUCUUGGUAAUGUCGUGUGAUAUGUUUCUUGGUGAUGUCGUGUGAUAUGUUUCUUGGUAAUGUCGUGUGAUAUGUUUCUUGGUGAUGUCGUGUGAUAUGUUUCUUGGUAAUGUCGUGUGAUAUGUUUCUUGGUAAUGUCGUGUGAUAUGUUUCUUGGUAAUGUCGUGUGAUAUGUUUCUUGUUAAUGUCGUGUGAUAUGUUUCUUGGUAAUGUCGUGUGAUAUGUUUCUUGGUGAUGUCGUGUGAUAUGUUUCUUGGUAAUGUCGUGUGAUAUGUUUCUUGGUAAUGUCGUGUGAUAUGUUUCUUGGUAAUGUCGUGUGAUAUGUUUCUUGGUAAUGUCGUGUGAUAUGUUUCUUGUUAAUGUCGUGUGAUAUGUUUCUUGGUAAUGUCGUGUGAUAUGUUUCUUGGUAAUGUCGUGUGAUAUGUUUCUUGGUAAUGUCGUGUGAUAUGUUUCUUGGUAAUGUCGUGUGAUAUGUUUCUUGUUAAUGUCGUGUGAUAUGUUUCUUGGUAAUGUCGUGUGAUAUGUUUCUUGUUAAUGUCGUGUGAUAUGUUUCUUGUUAAUGUCGUGUGAUAUGUUUCUGGGUAAUGUCGUGUGAUAUGUUUCUUGUUAAUGUCGUGUGAUAUGUUUCUUGUUAAUGUCGUGUGAUAUGUUUCUUGGUAAUGUCGUGUGAUAUGUUUCUUGUUAAUGUCGUGUGAUAUGUUUCUUGGUAAUGUCGUGUGAUAUGUUUCUUGGUAAUGUCGUGUGAUAUGUUUCUUGGUAAUGUCGUGUGAUAUGUUUCUUGGUAAUGUCGUGUGAUAUGUUUCUGGGUAAUGUCGUGUGAU
Molecule: long non-coding RNA, 2214 nt
Organism: Eriocheir sinensis (Chinese mitten crab)
Lineage: Eukaryota; Metazoa; Arthropoda; Malacostraca; Decapoda; Varunidae
Exons: 6
Source: RefSeq, a predicted model, not a curated record